CUUUCGCAUUACACAUUGAGAGCAGAGAAGAGCCAGAGAAAGCAUGAUGGGCACAAGGUGAUUAUAUUGGUAAAAGGAACAAGUGAAUCGAAUUAUAACAGAAAAGUUAGAGUACAUAAGCCCACAAAGAACAUCAGCAUCUUGUGAACAAAAGCAGACGCUGCAAAUAUCAACCAAAACGUUGUAAUUCUAUAAUACAGAGAAAUACUGGAACGUAAGAAAAGAAAGCGGCA
RNAcentral lists this long non-coding RNA (233 nucleotides) under Elaeis guineensis (African oil palm). Its description in RNAcentral is "long non-coding RNA (EGUI_LNC000841)". Lineage: Eukaryota; Viridiplantae; Streptophyta; Magnoliopsida; Arecales; Arecaceae. The record is from RNAcentral.